CCCUUUCAGCUACAGGGGAGCGCUCCUGCGCGACAGUGGUAAACUGCUAUGUUCAUUUAAUGGCAAUAUAAAACCAGCUCAGGGAUGCACACAUCUCAACCCCUUUCAUCUGAAAAUCCACCUCACCCUGCGGAAUUAAAAAACCUAUAAACCAAAUCCCUCUGAUGCAGGGCAUGCAAAGCCCGGGCAAGUCAUUAGUCUUCAUUUUUCAGAAGGGUAAGAGACCAGUCGAGCGCAUCCUCGAUCGGGAAGAAAUACUCUUAAGGCAGUCAGGUUGUCCCUUCUGGAAAAUGAAGACGAAAACAUCCCGUAGGAAGAGGAAAUGCCCGCAGGACCCCUACCGCUACACCCCACGCCCGUGCCGCACUCCUCUGACACCUGGAACCCCAGCCUCAAGCCCAGCCAGUUGCGCCACG
RNAcentral lists this long non-coding RNA (416 nucleotides) under Equus asinus (donkey). RNAcentral describes it as "lncRNA (ENSEASG00005033888.1)". Lineage: Eukaryota; Metazoa; Chordata; Mammalia; Perissodactyla; Equidae. The record is from RNAcentral.